RNAcentral lists this ribosomal RNA (429 nucleotides) under uncultured archaeon. RNAcentral describes it as "bacterial SSU rRNA". It matches the Rfam family "Archaeal small subunit ribosomal RNA", at positions 474 to 903 of the family's 1478-position model. The record is from RNAcentral.
UACCAGCUCUCCGAGUGGUGUGGAUGUUUAUUGGGCCUAAAGCAUCCGUAGCUGGCUGGACAAGUCCCCUGUUAAAUCCACCGAUUUAAUCGUUGGUGUGCGGGGGAUACUGUUCGGCUAGGGGACGGGAGAGGCCGACGGUAUUUCCGGGGUAGGGGUGAAAUCCUAUAAUCCCGGGAAGACCACCAGUGGCGAAGGCUGUCGGCUAUAACGCGCCCGACGGUGAGGGAUGAAAGCUGGGGGAGCGAACCGGAUUAGAUACCCGGGUAGUCCCAGCUGUAAACGAUGCAGGCUAGGUGUUUGGGCGGCCACGUGCCGCUCUAGUGCCGCAAGGAAGCUGUUAAGCCUGCCGCCUGGGGAGUACGGCCGCAAGGCUGAAACUUAAAGGAAUUGGCGGGGGAGCACCACAAGGGGUGAAGCUUGCGGUUU